This 77-nucleotide transfer RNA is filed under the name Methylonatrum kenyense. Its description in RNAcentral is "tRNA-Arg". It matches the Rfam family "tRNA". From Rfam's summary of the family: Transfer RNA (tRNA) molecules are approximately 80 nucleotides in length. The record is from RNAcentral. RNAcentral also lists the same sequence under 1 other name. Lineage: Bacteria; Pseudomonadati; Pseudomonadota; Gammaproteobacteria.
GCGCCCGUAGCUCAGCUGGAUAGAGUAUCGGCCUCCGAAGCCGAGGGUCGCAGGUUCGAAUCCUGCCGGGCGCGCCA